UACGUAGGGGGCUAGCGUUGUCCGGAAUCAUUGGGCGUAAAGAGCGUGUAGGCGGCCUGGUAAGUCCGCUGUAAAAGUCAAAGGCUUAACCUUUGAAUGUCAGUGGAUACUGCCGGGCUAGAGUCCGGAAGAGGCGAGUGGAACUCCUGGUGUAGCGGUGGAAUGCGCAGAUAUCAGGAAGAACACCCGUGGCGAAGGCGGCUCUCUGGGACGGUACUGACGCUGAGACGCGAAAGCGUGGGGAGCGAACAGG
Molecule: ribosomal RNA, 253 nt
Filed under: uncultured bacterium
Lineage: Bacteria
Description: partial 16S ribosomal RNA
Rfam family: Bacterial small subunit ribosomal RNA
Source: RNAcentral